GAUGAACGCUGGCGGCGUGCCUAAUACAUGCAAGUCGAGCGAACAGACGAGGAGCUUGCUCCUCUGAUGUUAGCGGCGGACGGGUGAGUAACACGUGGAUAACCUACCUAUAAGACUGGGAUAACUUCGGGAAACCGGAGCUAAUACCGGAUAACAUGUUGAACCGCAUGGUUCAAUAGUGAAAGACGGUCUUGCUGUCACUUAUAGAUGGAUCCGCGCCGCAUUAGCUAGUUGGUAAGGUAACGGCUUACCAAGGCAACGAUGCGUAGCCGACCUGAGAGGGUGAUCGGCCACACUGGAACUGAGACACGGUCCAGACUCCUACGGGAGGCAGCAGUAGGGAAUCUUCCGCAAUGGGCGAAAGCCUGACGGAGCAACGCCGCGUGAGUGAAGAAGGUCUUCGGAUCGUAAAACUCUGUUAUUAGGGAAGAACAAAUGUGUAAGUAACUAUGCACGUCUUGACGGUACCUAAUCAGAAAGCCACGGCUAACUACGUG
This 497-nucleotide ribosomal RNA is filed under the name uncultured bacterium. Its description in RNAcentral is "partial 16S ribosomal RNA". It matches the Rfam family "Bacterial small subunit ribosomal RNA", at positions 28 to 507 of the family's 1533-position model. The record is from RNAcentral.